RNAcentral lists this ribosomal RNA (273 nucleotides) under uncultured bacterium. RNAcentral's name for it is "partial 16S ribosomal RNA". It matches the Rfam family "Bacterial small subunit ribosomal RNA", at positions 81 to 354 of the family's 1533-position model. The record is from RNAcentral.
UUUGGUUUAGUUUAGUGGCGGACGGGUGAGUAACGCGUGGGUAACCUGCCCUAUACAGGGGGAUAACAGUUGGAAACGACUGUUAAUACCGCAUAAGCGCACAGGAGCGCAUGCUCCGGUGUGAAAAACUCCGGUGGUAUAGGAUGGACCCGCGUCUGAUUAGCUGGUUGGCGGGGUAACGGCCCACCAAGGCGACGAUCAGUAGCCGGCCUGAGAGGGUGGACGGCCACAUUGGGACUGAGACACGGCCCAAACUCCUACGGGAGGCAGCAG